AGGGCGCACGGUGGAUGCCUUGGUACUAGGAGCCGAAGAAGGACGGAACUAACACCGAUAUGCUUUGGGGAGCUGUAAGUAAGCUAAGAUCCAAAGAUUUCCGAAUGGGGGAACCCAACACCUUUCAUAGGGUGUUACCAAUGAGUGAAUACAUAGCUCAUUAGGAGGUACACGCAGGGAACUGAAACAUCUCAUUACCUGCAGGAAGAGAAAGAAAAAUCGAUUCCCUGAGUAGCGGCGAGCGAAACGGGAGGAGCCCAAACCAACGAGCUUGCUUGUUGGGGUUGUAGGACUAGAACGUGAGAAGAAAUCAAGAUAGCAGAAGUGGUCUGGAAAGGCCCAUCAAAGAAGGUGACAAUCCUGUACGCGACAUUUUGAUGAACUCUACUAGCAUCCUGAGUACGGCGGGACACGAGGAAUCCCGUCGGAAUCCGCCAGGACCAUCUGGCAAGGCUAAAUACUACCUAGUGACCGAUAGUGAACCAGUACCGUGAGGGAAAGGUGAAAAGAACCCCGGGAGGGGAGUGAAAGAGUACCUGAAACCGUGUGCUUACAAGUAGUCAGAGCCCGUUAAUGGGUGAUGGCGUGCCUUUUGUAGAAUGAACCGGCGAGUUACGUUUACAUGCGAGGUUAAGAUGAAGAGUCGGAGCCGUAGCGAAAGCGAGUCUGAAUAGGGCGCAUGUAGUAUGUGGACGUAGACCCGAAACCAAGUGAUCUACCCAUGUCCAGGUUGAAGGUGCGGUAAAACGCACUGGAGGACCGAACCAGGGCACGUUGAAAAGUGCUUGGAUGACUUGUGGGUAGCGGAGAAAUUCCAAACGAACUUGGAGAUAGCUGGUUCUCUCCGAAAUAGCUUUAGGGCUAGCGUCGACAUUAAGAUUCUUGGAGGUAGAGCACUGUUUGGGUGAGGGGUCCAUCCCGGAUUACCAAUCUCAGAUAAACUCCGAAUGCCAAUGAAUUAUGGUCGGCAGUCAGACUGCGAGUGCUAAGAUCCGUAGUCGAAAGGGAAACAGCCCAGACCACCAGCUAAGGUCCCAAAAUAUAUGUUAAGUGGAAAAGGAUGUGGGGUUGCACAGACAACUAGGAUGUUAGCUUAGAAGCAGCUAUUCAUUCAAAGAGUGCGUAAUAGCUCACUAGUCGAGUGACCCUGCGCCGAAAAUGUACCGGGGCUAAAACAAUUUACCGAAGCUGUGGAUACCUUUAUAGGUAUGGUAGGAGAGCGUUCUAUGUGUGAUGAAGGUGUACCGUGAGGAGUGCUGGAACGCAUAGAAGUGAGAAUGCCGGUAUGAGUAGCGAAAGACAGGUGAGAAUCCUGUCCACCGUAAGACUAAGGUUUCCAGGGGAAGGCUCGUCCGCCCUGGGUUAGUCGGGACCUAAGGAGAGACCGAAAGGUGUAUCCGAUGGACAACAGGUUGAUAUUCCUGUACUAGAGUAUGUAGUGAUGGAGGGACGCAGUAGGCUAACUAAAGCAGACGAUUGGAAGUGUCUGUCUAAGCAGUGAGGUGUGAACUGAGUCAAAUGCUUAGUUCUAUAACAUUGAGCUGUGAUGGGGAGCGAAGUUUAGUAGCGAAGUUAGUGACGUCACACUGCCAAGAAAAGCUUCUAGCGUUUAAACAUACUCUACCCGUACCGCAAACCGACACAGGUAGUCGAGGCGAGUAGCCUCAGGUGAGCGAGAGAACUCUCGUUAAGGAACUCGGCAAAAUGACCCCGUAACUUCGGGAGAAGGGGUGCUGGUAGCAAUACCAGCCGCAGUGAAUAGGCCCAGGCGACUGUUUAUCAAAAACACAGGUCUCUGCAAAAUCGAAAGAUGACGUAUAGGGGCUGACGCCUGCCCGGUGCUGGAAGGUUAAGAGGAGAGGUUAGCCGCAAGGCGAAGCUUUGAAUUGAAGCCCCAGUAAACGGCGGCCGUAACUAUAACGGUCCUAAGGUAGCGAAAUUCCUUGUCGGGUAAGUUCCGACCCGCACGAAAGGCGUAAUGAUUUGGGCACUGUCUCAACGAGAGACUCGGUGAAAUUUUAGUACCUGUGAAGAUGCAGGUUACCCGCGACAGGACGGAAAGACCCCAUGGAGCUUUACUGUAGUUUGAUAUUGAGUGUUUGUGUCACAUGUACAGGAUAGGUAGGAGCUGAAGAAUCCGGGACGCCAGUUUCGGAGGAGGCAACGGUGGGAUACUACCCUUGUGACAUGACCACUCUAACCCGCACCCCUCACCGGGGUGGGAGACAGUGUCAGACGGGCAGUUUGACUGGGGCGGUCGCCUCCUAAAGUGUAACGGAGGCGCCCAAAGGUUCCCUCAGAAUGGUUGGAAAUCAUUCGUAGAGUGUAAAGGCAGAAGGGAGCUUGACUGCGAGACCUACAAGUCGAGCAGGGACGAAAGUCGGGCUUAGUGAUCCGGUGGUACCGUAUGGAAGGGCCAUCGCUCAACGGAUAAAAGCUACCCUGGGGAUAACAGGCUUAUC
Molecule: ribosomal RNA, 2462 nt
Filed under: human oral metagenome
Description: bacterial LSU rRNA
Rfam family: Bacterial large subunit ribosomal RNA
Source: RNAcentral